GAAAUGCGAUAAGUAGUGUGAAUUGCAGAAUUCAGUGAAUCAUCGAAUCCUUGAACGCACAUUGCGCCCUUUGGUAUUCCUUAGGGCAUGCCUGUUCGAGCGUCAUCUAAACCCUCAAGCCCUGCUUGGUGUUGGGUGCCUGUCCCGCCCCCGUGCGUGGACUCACCUCAAAUCCAUUGGCGGCCCUCGUGCCGGCCCCGAGCGCAGCAGAAACGCGGUCUCGUGGCCCGGCGGAGCGUGCCCCCAGAAGCAACAUUCACCGUUUUGACCUCGGAUCAGGUAGGGAUACCCGCUGAACUUAAGC
This 304-nucleotide unclassified non-coding RNA is filed under the name plant metagenome. RNAcentral's name for it is "partial contains 5.8S ribosomal RNA, internal transcribed spacer 2, and large subunit ribosomal RNA". The stretch from base 1 to 105 matches the Rfam family "5.8S ribosomal RNA", at positions 50 to 154 of the family's 154-position model. The record is from RNAcentral.